GUGAAUCGGUUGCCAAAUACAGCGUUUAUCCGCCGACAUAUGAAGGCUCGUAUAUAGUGUGUUCAGGUUAUUUUUCCUCGAAGUUCCUAUAACAAAACCGGGCACUCUUGAAGGAAAAUAAACUUUCAUUCGAAAACUGUUGUUUGAGGCCAGAAUGAGUGCGUUCUCAAUUACAUUCAUCAGGCAGAAAUUAAUGGCUAUCAUCAUGCAUCACAAGAGAUCCUACCACAGGCCUGCGUCAUGUCACCAUGUCAUUGCGCUGCAAGUCUCAACAGAGUGCCGGCCGAGCAAAUGGUGAUUAAGUUGGAAGGGCACUGCAUUAUUUCGAAGACGCAUGCUUCAGCCGCAAGGUGGGGGUUCAUCUGCGCUCAACGGCCCGCCGGUGAUGCCCCAACACGAUGAUGUCAGUUGCUCACUGGAGGGAAAGCAGAGGGUGGUCAGGCGUCGCAACAGCAAGGCUAGUAGCCCUUUAGAGAUUGACUUAAUGGAGAGCAAUUACUUUGAUGAGUUGGUGUAGUCAGAGUAAUAUUUUAUG
This is a long non-coding RNA of Phyllopteryx taeniolatus (common seadragon), 535 nucleotides long. RefSeq lists it as uncharacterized. NCBI's taxonomy places the organism in Eukaryota, Metazoa, Chordata, Actinopteri, Syngnathiformes, Syngnathidae. The transcript is spliced from 3 exons. The record is from RefSeq and is a predicted model, not a curated record.